Molecule: long non-coding RNA, 864 nt
Organism: Neopsephotus bourkii (Bourke's parrot)
Lineage: Eukaryota; Metazoa; Chordata; Aves; Psittaciformes; Psittacidae
Exons: 3
Source: RefSeq, a predicted model, not a curated record
CGAGGAAGAAGGGGGCGAAGGAGGAGACGGACGCUGCUCCCUGGUCGCGAAGGGGCAGGAGGAACCGCCGGCGGCCGCAGCGCACCUCUUCACCGUGCACCAGCCGACUUCAGCCACGGCCAUCCAGGUGACUAUUCCCCUUCUGUAAGUGUUCUUCCUCCUGCCUCCCGCCCUCUCAGCAGACAGUCCCUGGCAGCGGCCCGGAAGGAUGUAUGCAUAUUUCUCGCCCUAAGCAACCAGAGUUGCCCGAACCGUCAGGUGAAGCCAAAGAGAGCUGUGGGAUGUGUCUACUCCAGAAGCAGGCAGUAGGCAUUUUUCCUGUUUCUUUCUUAUUCUCUUUCCCCCACCCCUCCCCAGCCCUCUUAUCUCAGCUGUGUACAAACUGAUAUGGUACUUAGCAGGAAAGUGACUGGAAAUUAAAAUAACUUCGUUCACCAGAGGUUAUCAGCUGGAUAUCUGUCAUCAUCAGUUUGUACAGAAAGAGUCAUCUGCGGCGAAGGGCUGGACUAGAACAGAGCCCGGCUCUCGGCAGCCGGCAAGACAUGAGCCCUCCCGGCAGAACCCGAGCCCAAAGCUGCUGGUGCGCGGUGCUGUCGCUCCUGGGGUAGGCACGGCUUUUCUUUCCGUCUUUCCAGGCAAGGUGAAUGAGAGGUGAAGAAUCCGCAGUGCCGAGGGUACGGUAGAACCCCGGCUGCAGCCAUCCACUGAUGGCGGGGGAGGAACCGGUUGCGACCUCCAGGUUUUAUUGCGCUUGUGAAUUUUGGUGCUGUAGCGCGGCGGGGUUUGUUCGGGAAAGAACCACUUGCCCCAGAAACUGUUUCUCCAUUAAAUUGUAUAAUUAAAGGCGCUACUUUUUUCUUGUCA